UACAGAGGGGGCAAGCGUUGUUCGGAAUUACUGGGCGUAAAGGGCGCGUAGGCGGCCUUCUAAGUCGAACGUGAAAUCCCCGGGCUCAACCCGGGAACUGCGUCCGAUACUGGAAGGCUUGAAUCCGGGAGAGGGAUGCGGAAUUCCAGGUGUAGCGGUGAAAUGCGUAGAUAUUAGGAAGAACACCGGUGGCGAAGGCGGCCCACUGGCUCGACACUGACGCUGAGGUGCGAAAGCGUGGGGAGCAAACAGG
RNAcentral lists this ribosomal RNA (253 nucleotides) under uncultured bacterium. RNAcentral describes it as "partial 16S ribosomal RNA". It matches the Rfam family "Bacterial small subunit ribosomal RNA", at positions 524 to 776 of the family's 1533-position model. The record is from RNAcentral.